Molecule: ribosomal RNA, 1244 nt
Filed under: Broccoli stunt phytoplasma
Lineage: Bacteria; Bacillati; Mycoplasmatota; Mollicutes; Acholeplasmatales; Acholeplasmataceae
Description: bacterial SSU rRNA
Rfam family: Bacterial small subunit ribosomal RNA
Source: RNAcentral
GAAACGACUGCUAAGACUGGAUAGGAGACAAGAAGACAUCUUCUUGUUUUUAAAAGACCUAGCAAUAGGUAUGCUUAGGAAGGAGCUUGCGUCACAUUAGUUAGUUGGUGGGGUAAAGGCCUACCAAGACUAUGAUGUGUAGCCGGGCUGAGAGGUUGAACGGCCACAUUGGGACUGAGACACGGCCCAAACUCCUACGGGAGGCAGCAGUAGGGAAUUUUCGGCAAUGGAGGAAACUCUGACCGAGCAACGCCGCGUGAGCGAUGAAGUAUUUCGGUACGUAAAGUUCUUUUAUUAGGGAAGAAUAAAUGAUGGAAAAAUCAUUCUGACGGUACCUAAUGAAUAAGCCCCGGCUAACUAUGUGCCAGCAGCCGCGGUAAUACAUAGGGGGCAAGCGUUAUCCGGAAUUAUUGGGCGUAAAGGGUGCGUAGGCGGUUAAAUAAGUUUAUGGUCUAAGUGCAAUGCUCAACAUUGUGAUGCUAUAAAAACUGUUUAGCUAGAGUAAGAUAGAGGCAAGUGGAAUUCCAUGUGUAGUGGUAAAAUGCGUAAAUAUAUGGAGGACACCAGUAGCGAAGGCGGCUUGCUGGUCUUUACUGACGCUGAGGCACGAAAGCGUGGGGAGCAAACAGGAUUAGAUACCCUGGUAGUCCACGCCGUAAACGAUGAGUACUAAACGUUGGGUAAAACCAGUGUUGAAGUUAACACAUUAAGUACUCCGCCUGAGUAGUACGUACGCAAGUAUGAAACUUAAAGGAAUUGACGGGACUCCGCACAAGCGGUGGAUCGUGUUGUUUAAUUCGAAGGUACCCGAAAAACCUCACCAGGUCUUGACAUGCUUCUGCAAAGCUGUAGAAACACAGUGGAGGUUAUCAGUUGCACAGGUGGUGCAUGGUUGUCGUCAGCUCGUGUCGUGAGAUGUUGGGUUAAGUCCCGCAACGAGCGCAACCCUUAUUGUUAGUUACCAGCACGUAAUGGUGGGGACUUUAGCAAGACUGCCAGUGAUAAAUUGGAGGAAGGUGGGGACGACGUCAAAUCAUCAUGCCCCUUAUGACCUGGGCUACAAACGUGAUACAAUGGCUGUUACAAAGGGUAGCUGAAGCGCAAGUUUUUGGCGAAUCUCAAAAAAACAGUCUCAGUUCGGAUUGAAGUCUGCAACUCGACUUCAUGAAGUUGGAAUCGCUAGUAAUCGCGAAUCAGCAUGUCGCGGUGAAUACGUUCUCGGGGUUUGUACACACCGCCCGUCA